Long non-coding RNA from Peromyscus eremicus (cactus mouse), 815 nucleotides. RefSeq lists it as uncharacterized. Lineage: Eukaryota; Metazoa; Chordata; Mammalia; Rodentia; Cricetidae. The record is from RefSeq and is a predicted model, not a curated record. The transcript is spliced from 3 exons.
GGUGGCUUCAGUCCCAGGACAUGGUCUUUAACAGGGGUCUUAGAGCUCCCCAGGGGACUUCAACCACUUCUCGUCCAUCCCUACUUGAACCUGCUGAAUGGCCUUGGAAGCUCGGUGAGGAGCUGGCAAUUCACUCCUCAACUACUUGUGUGGGAGUGUGGGGGAAACUCUCUAUGAGAAGAUCCACGCCGAAGAACAUCUCCAAACUCACUGAAGAACAGAGGGAGAAGAUGCAUUCUCCCCAAGGCCUCCUGCUGACACACCCACAAAUAGACUUUUGAGCUGUUGAAGCUGCCACAGAGAAGAUGGAAGUGUGAGCAGAAAGGAAACUAAAGAAUUAAAGAGCUCACUUCAGCAGUGAUCUUUGUCUCUCCACGGACCAAAUGUGUCCCUGCCUCCUUCCCAGAGCACCAGUCGCUUGCAUCUGCUGCCCGAGCUACCGUGCCUUUUACUCCAAGGACUGCCUUUCUACAGUUCUACAUCCAGAGUAACUGCUCAUCACUCAGUAUUCACUUUGUGUCUCCAAGUUUAGCAGGACUCUGGAAUCUUCUGGUUCAUUUCUAAGAAAUCACAAUGAUGCAUUUCACUUUAAAACAUUUCAAAGCCAUUGGAAAAGUAUGCAGUUGGUUAGUUCGACUUUUAUUUCACACUUGCCACCAGCCAUUGCUUCCCUUCACCCACUGGGCCAGUUUCCUAGGUGGCUUUAGACUCUAAGUCAUAUGGUAUCUCAGCGACUCCCCAAAAUUACCAAAAGGUUUUUCUCUGGAGGAGGUAUUGUUUGCGAUUUUACUGAGGAAUCUCCUAGUUUUCAACGA